This 331-nucleotide ribosomal RNA is filed under the name uncultured eukaryote. RNAcentral describes it as "partial 18S ribosomal RNA". It matches the Rfam family "Eukaryotic small subunit ribosomal RNA", at positions 1470 to 1796 of the family's 1831-position model. The record is from RNAcentral.
CCCUUAGAUGUUCUGGGCCGCACGCGCGCUACACUGAUGCAUUCAACGAGUCUAAAACCUGGUCUGAUAGGGCUGGGUAAUCUUUUGAAUGUGCAUCGUGAUUGGGAUAGAUGAUUGCAAUUCUUCAUCUUCAACGAGGAAUGCCUAGUAAACGCAAGUCAUCAGCUUGCAUUGAUUACGUCCCUGCCCUUUGUACACACCGCCCGUCGCUCCUACCGAUUGAAUGGUCCGGUGAAGUGUUCGGAUCGAGGCGACAUGGGCGGUUCGCUGCCUGUGACGUUGCGAGAAGUCCACUGAACCUUAUCAUUUAGAGGAAGGAGAAGUCGUAACA